CGCUGGCGGCAGGCCUAACACAUGCAAGUCGAACGGUAACAGGAAGAAGCUUGCUUCUUUGCUGACGAGUGGCGGACGGGUGAGUAAUGUCUGGGAAACUGCCUGAUGGAGGGGGAUAACUACUGGAAACGGUAGCUAAUACCGCAUAACGUCGCAAGACCAAAGAGGGGGACCUUCGGGCCUCUUGCCAUCGGAUGUGCCCAGAUGGGAUUAGCUAGUAGGUGGGGUAACGGCUCACCUAGGCGACGAUCCCUAGCUGGUCUGAGAGGAUGACCAGCCACACUGGAACUGAGACACGGU
RNAcentral lists this ribosomal RNA (300 nucleotides) under Escherichia coli. Its description in RNAcentral is "bacterial SSU rRNA". It matches the Rfam family "Bacterial small subunit ribosomal RNA", at positions 34 to 330 of the family's 1533-position model. Lineage: Bacteria; Pseudomonadati; Pseudomonadota; Gammaproteobacteria; Enterobacterales; Enterobacteriaceae. The record is from RNAcentral.